This 376-nucleotide ribosomal RNA is filed under the name uncultured bacterium. RNAcentral describes it as "bacterial SSU rRNA". It matches the Rfam family "Bacterial small subunit ribosomal RNA", at positions 524 to 898 of the family's 1533-position model. The record is from RNAcentral.
UACGUAGGGCGCAAGCGUUGUCCGGAAUUAUUGGGCGUAAAGAGCUCGUAGGCGGUUUGUCGCGUCUGUCGUGAAAGCCCACGGCUUAACCGUGGGUCUGCGGUGGAUACGGGCAGACUAGAGGCAGGUAGGGGAGAAUGGAAUUCCCGGUGUAGCGGUGAAAUGCGCAGAUAUCGGGAGGAACACCGGUGGCGAAGGCGGUUCUCUGGGCCUGUACUGACGCUGAGGAGCGAAAGCGUGGGGAGCGAACAGGAUUAGAUACCCUGGUAGUCCACGCCGUAAACGUUGGGCGCUAGGUGUGGGGUUCUUCCACGGAUUCCGCGCCGUAGCUAACGCAUUAAGCGCCCCGCCUGGGGAGUACGGCCGCAAGGCUAAA